GCCUGAGUGACGAAAUUGGUAGACGUAGCGGAUUCAAAAUCCGCCGGUGAAUAACCGUGUCGGUUCGAGUCCGACCUCAGGCACCA
This 86-nucleotide transfer RNA is filed under the name Pseudactinobacillus ducreyi. RNAcentral describes it as "[Haemophilus] ducreyi tRNA-Leu". It matches the Rfam family "tRNA". Rfam says of the family: Transfer RNA (tRNA) molecules are approximately 80 nucleotides in length. Their secondary structure includes four short double-helical elements and three loops (D, anti-codon, and T loops). Lineage: Bacteria; Pseudomonadati; Pseudomonadota; Gammaproteobacteria; Pasteurellales; Pasteurellaceae. RNAcentral also lists the same sequence under 3 other names. The record is from RNAcentral.